Molecule: unclassified non-coding RNA, 274 nt
Filed under: fungal sp.
Lineage: Eukaryota; Fungi
Description: partial contains internal transcribed spacer 1
Source: RNAcentral
AAGUCGUAACAAGGUUUCCGUAGGAACAAGUUCUUGAUUCUUUCAAUGCACUUGCCGAAGCCUUCACGGGUCUUUCCAAAGAUCGAUCAACCGCGACUCUAAAGAAAAGGUGGUCUCUAGCUUACCCGGCCCUGCCUAUGGUUGCUAGACGUUAGUUAGCUACGGCUAGCGACACCGUUGGACUGUGGCGAUUCUCCUGCUGGAGCAAUCCGUAGCUCGCAUUAAAUGAUGCGAGUUCACAGACUAAGUAACGGUGGAUAUGAGGGUUUACCUC